Molecule: ribosomal RNA, 1478 nt
Filed under: uncultured bacterium
Lineage: Bacteria
Description: bacterial SSU rRNA
Rfam family: Bacterial small subunit ribosomal RNA
Source: RNAcentral
AGAGUUUGAUCAUGGCUCAGGAUGAACGCUAGCGGCAGGCUUAACACAUGCAAGUCGAGGGGUAACAGAGUAGCUUGCUACUGCUGACGACCGGCGCACGGGUGCGUAACGCGUAUACAAUCUACCUUAUACUGGGGUAUAGCCUUUAGAAAUGAAGAUUAACCCCCCAUAGUCUCUAAGAGUGGCAUCACAUUUAGAGUAAAGGUUACGGUAUAAGAUGAGUAUGCGUUCUAUUAGUUUGUUGGUGAGGUAACGGCUUACCAAGACUACGAUAGAUAGGGGCCCUGAGAGGGGGAUCCCCCACACUGGUACUGAGACACGGACCAGACUCCUACGGGAGGCAGCAGUGAGGAAUAUUGGACAAUGGAGGCAACUCUGAUCCAGCCAUGCCGCGUGUAGGAUGACUGCCCUAUGGGUUGUAAACUACUUUUAUACAGGAAGAAACACCUCUACGUGUAGAGGCUUGACGGUACUGUAAGAAUAAGGAUCGGCUAACUCCGUGCCAGCAGCCGCGGUAAUACGGAGGAUCCAAGCGUUAUCCGGAAUCAUUGGGUUUAAAGGGUCCGUAGGUGGAUAAUUAAGUCAGAGGUGAAAUCUUGCAGCUCAACUGUAAAAUUGCCUUUGAAACUGGUUAUCUUGAGUUAUUAUGAAGUAGUUAGAAUAUGUAGUGUAGCGGUGAAAUGCAUAGAUAUUACAUAGAAUACCAAUUGCGAAGGCAGAUUACUAAUAAUCAACUGACACUGAUGGACGAAAGCGUGGGUAGCGAACAGGAUUAGAUACCCUGGUAGUCCACGCCGUAAACGAUGGUUACUAGCUGUUUGGACUUCGGUCUGAGUGGCUAAGCGAAAGUGAUAAGUAACCCACCUGGGGAGUACGUUCGCAAGAAUGAAACUCAAAGGAAUUGACGGGGGCCCGCACAAGCGGUGGAGCAUGUGGUUUAAUUCGAUGAUACGCGAGGAACCUUACCAGGGCUUAAAUGUAAGUUGCAUUAGUUAGAGAUAGCUAUUUCUUCGGACCGCUUACAAGGUGCUGCAUGGUUGUCGUCAGCUCGUGCCGUGAGGUGUCAGGUUAAGUCCUAUAACGAGCGCAACCCCUGUUGUUAGUUGCCAGCGAGUCAUGUCGGGAACUCUAACAAGACUGCCAGUGCAAACUGUGAGGAAGGUGGGGAUGACGUCAAAUCAUCACGGCCCUUACGUCCUGGGCUACACACGUGCUACAAUGGUAGGGACAGAGAGCAGCCACUGGGCGACCAGGAGCGAAUCUAUAAACCCUAUCACAGUUCGGAUCGGAGUCUGCAACUCGACUCCGUGAAGCUGGAAUCGCUAGUAAUCGGAUAUCAGCCAUGAUCCGGUGAAUACGUUCCCGGGCCUUGUACACACCGCCCGUCAAGCCAUGGAAGUUGGAAGUGCCUGAAGUCCGUCACCGCAAGGAGCGGCCUAGGGUAAAGUCGAUAACUAGGGCUAAGUCGUAACAAGGUA